CAAUAGCGUAUAUUUAAGUUGUUGCAGUUAAAAAGCUCGUAGUUGGAUUUCGGUUAAGAGCGACCGGUCCGCCGUUUGGUGUGCACUGGUUGGUUUUAACUUCCUGUAGAGGACGUGCUCUGGGUUUAACGACCUGGACUCGGAGUCUACGUGGUUACUUUGAAAAAAUUAGAGUGUUCAAAGCGGGCUUACGCUUGAAUAUUUCAGCAUGGAAUAACACUAUAGGACUCCUGUCCUAUUUCGUUGGUCUCGGGACGGGAGUAAUGAUUAAGAGGAACAGUUGGGGGCAUUCGUAUUUCAUUGUCAGAGGUGAAAUUCUUGGAUUUAUGAAAGACGAACUUCUGCGAAAGCAUUUGCCAAGGAUGUUNUCAUUAA
This 375-nucleotide ribosomal RNA is filed under the name uncultured eukaryote. RNAcentral describes it as "partial 18S ribosomal RNA". It matches the Rfam family "Eukaryotic small subunit ribosomal RNA", at positions 592 to 976 of the family's 1831-position model. The record is from RNAcentral.